Molecule: transfer RNA, 69 nt
Filed under: Colias erate (eastern pale clouded yellow)
Lineage: Eukaryota; Metazoa; Arthropoda; Insecta; Lepidoptera; Pieridae
Description: tRNA-Met
Source: RNAcentral
UUAAGAAUAAGCUAAAUAUAAGCUUUUGGGCUCAUACCUCAAAUAUAAAGAUAUCCCUUUUUCUUAAUA